CUGGGCUUGAGCGACCUCCCCACCUUAGCCUCCUGAGUAGCUGAGACUACAGCACUGUCCUAGGUACUGUGGGGACCAAAACAUUCAGACCUGCUUCUAAGGAGUGCAGUCCAUGGAAGAGUCAGAAUAACAAAUCAACAUUUGUACUACACCAGACCAGCUCUCUUCUAAGGUUGCUAUGACUUCCCAGCAGCAUUCUAAUAUAUGCAUUCUUCAUAACAACUGUGUGAAACAUAUUAAUAUCCUCAUUGUUAACGAUGAAGAAACUAAAUCUCAGGAAGAAAAACUAAGUGAAGACAAAAGAAGGAUUUGAACUGAGGUUUGUCAGACUCUCGGGACCA
This 341-nucleotide long non-coding RNA is filed under the name Homo sapiens (human). RNAcentral's name for it is "non-protein coding KCNMB2-AS1:8". Lineage: Eukaryota; Metazoa; Chordata; Mammalia; Primates; Hominidae. The record is from RNAcentral.